UACCAGCACCCCGAGUGGUCGGGACGAUUAUUGGGCCUAGAGCAUCCGUAGCCGGUUUUACAAGUCCUCCGUUAAAUCCAACUGCUUAACAGAUGGGCCGCGGAGGAUACUAUAAGACUAGGAGGCAGGAGAGGCAAGCGGUACUCAGUGGGUAGGGGUAAAAUCCGUUGAUCCAUUGAAGACCACCAGUGGCGAAGGCGGCUUGCCAGAAUGCGCUCGACGGUGAGGGAUGAAAGCUGGGGGAGCAAACCGG
This 253-nucleotide ribosomal RNA is filed under the name uncultured bacterium. RNAcentral describes it as "partial 16S ribosomal RNA". It matches the Rfam family "Archaeal small subunit ribosomal RNA", at positions 474 to 727 of the family's 1478-position model. The record is from RNAcentral.